This is a long non-coding RNA of Ailuropoda melanoleuca (giant panda), 1632 nucleotides long. RefSeq lists it as uncharacterized. The transcript is spliced from 4 exons. NCBI's taxonomy places the organism in Eukaryota, Metazoa, Chordata, Mammalia, Carnivora, Ursidae. The record is from RefSeq and is a predicted model, not a curated record.
CGAGAGCUCCGGCCUGGAGGACCGGUUCUAGACAGGAUCCAGAGUCUAAUUUCCUGCGGGACACCCUACAGCUCGCUUACCUCAGUGGGCCUCGGUUUCCCCAUCUGUCAGCCGAGCUCGUCACACCGGAGCAUAACGCCGAAAAGGCGCGAACAGGGAGCAGAGGGAAAGAACUUUCCAAAAUGAGAAGGAGACGGAUAGUCCUGGACGCUUUUAGACUUCUCUCCUUUCUCCCACCAGGAGUUAGUAUGAAUGACAGUGUUGUGGGGGUAAAGCAGAUUCCUGGGCUCUGGCCUGCCUGUAACUGCUGCAUUUCUCACACACUCUCUCUGACAAGCUGAGGUUUCUACACCUGGGCUGGGACAGCGAAGGCCUUGGAGAAGCCGGAGGUGCUCAGUGGUUCCUCAUCUGUUCCCUAAAGUUAUCCCUGGUGUCUGAACUUCCUAGGUCCCCUGAGCUCCAGUUACUACCUCUUGCUGCUUCCAGGGUCAGAAACCAAGGGUGAUGAGUGAUGGGAAGGGUCAUGGGACUUAAAGAAAGCCAGUUAAGAGGAGAUCCUCUUAAGCUCACUGAGGCAAGAAGACUCCGAGCGUGAAAACCACCAGGCACCAACAACUGCAACCUACUCAUUGCGCAGAUGGGGAAAUUGAGUUUCAGAGAGUAAUUCUUCCAAGCUCACACAACUAAUAAUUUGAAUGGAAGCCUUACUUCUUCAGACACUUACCUUUCCACCCUGCACUUUGCCUCUUGGGCCAGCUACGUGGUUGUGGUAGUUUAAACAUGUUGGCAAGUUCUUUACCACUUCUCUUUUCAAAAGAUGUUGGCUAAUUCCCCUCCCUUCCAGUUGGGCUGGACUUAGCGACUGGCUUCUAACGGAAGAACACGGUGGAGGUGAGGCUAUAUAGCUCAUAAGCUGAAGUCAUAGAAAGGAGACAUUCCUUCUGUCUCUUUCUUACUUCCUCAGGACAGCCACCCUUGAACCUAGCCACCAUGCUGUGAGGAAGCCCACACCACAUGGAGAGAGGACAGGAGCUACUGUGGCUGACAUCUCCAGCUAGGCUCUCAGCUCACAACCAGCAUCACUCAUCCGAUAAGUGGUGAGCUGAGAUUAGUCCACCACCAGCCUUUGAGUCUUGCAGCCGAGGUCGCAGACAUGGAGCCGAGAGACGCCAACGUCGCUGUGCCCUGUCUGAAUUUCUCUCCCACAGAAAAUGAGAGAUAAGAAGCGAUCGUUGUUGUUUUAAGCCAAUCAGCCCAUUAGAACUGGCCACAGUCAUCAGUGAAGUUGUGAAUGGUACCAGUUCAAGUGCAUUGCGGCUGGAGUUGUUCAGGAUGGGGACACACUUCAAGUUGAAGGUGGAGCCUUGUCUUCAAAACACAGGUCUGUGCUUCUCAGCAUUUCAUUUGGAGCUCUAAAUUUGAGGGGAUCCAGCACGCAGCCCUCCUGAGCCCCUGUGGGAGUCCCAGCCAGACAAGAGCUGACCCAAAGCCCUGAGGACACAGAUGGGAGCUGGAGUGACCGCCAACAGCAUGCAUUCCUAAAGUGGUCUGAUGGAGUGUGGGGCCGUAGCGAGGGAGUGGAGUCCCAGACAGGAGGCAUCUCAUCAUGGAGACAAUCUGUUGUCUGUCUAU